UAACAAUGUACCAGUUAAUUUCAUGUGUUGGAUUUGUUUCAGGGCGAUCAGGAAGUUGACCCUGUGAGCAUACACGGAGCCCCUACCCUUGACCUGUGAAACCUCUAUGUGGACCCAUAGCCAGCCCCUAAUGAGAGGAGCAGAGGGCUUGGGUCUGUGUAGUAGUGCGGGUGUGUUCCUGACCUUACUGUGUGUGCGUUGUUCCUCUUUAGGUGGCACUGGUGCGGUGGACUGAGAGCAUAGGCCUGACUGGUGACUAGGGACCUGAACUCCCUGAUGCUGAAGACCCCAGCAGGACAAAUCCUAACCUACUACAUCCUGCAGACCUUCACCUCCAAGAGCAAGAGGAUGGUCAUCAUCGUCAGGGUGGAUACCACAGGUGACAUCACAUGUUUAUUAAGGGCACUGAUUGUUGCCAUGGCGAGUAUUGUGCAGUACAAUGAGUGGCUGGAGGAGGAGAGUGGGAACAUGGCCAGGGAAGGGCUUAGGACGGUGGCUAAUAAAUGCCUAUCCAAGGAGCAGUAAAUAAAUAGACUUUGAGAACCGGUACAACCAGGCCAAGCUGAGUAUGCAUGACCAGGCUCUGAAGGUGUCAGCAGUGGUAGAAAGUCUGGAGAGGGAGAUGGAGCUUCUGUGUUUGAUUGGGGUUGAGGUCGACAUCAGGCCAAGCCUGGAGCUCCUCAGCAAUGCUGGAAUCAAACUGUGAAUAUAUGGAUGCUUACUGGGGAUAAGCUGGAGACAGCUACUUGUAUCGCUAAAAGCUCCCAUUUGGUGUCCAGAAGUGAAGAUUGGUCUCCAACGGUGGAGAGGCCCAUCUGGAGCUCAAUGCCUUCAGAAGGAAACACGACUGUGCUCUGGUCGUCUCUGGAGACUCCUUGGCGGUACUACAACACAACACACUUCUCACAAGCCUCUCAAGAUGGUACUGUAGAUGUAGCCAAAAAUAUUCUGGUGUCAAAACUAAAACCUUUUGAGUCCAAAACUGCAAGAAGAGCAACAAAGCACAUCAGUUAUGAUUUUAUAAGCAAAACAAACUACAUUUUAUCACUGUUGAUCUGAAGAGAUGGUACAGUAAGUAAUAUGUGAGUGUGCUUGUGGGUUCAGAUGUGUUUGCAUUUUCCAAAUCCAUAUGUUUAUCUUCCCACAUAGUCUGCGGGACUAUGAGCAUGAGUUUGUGGAACUGGCGUGUCAGUGUCCAGCGGUAGUCUGCUGUCGCUGCUCCCCCACUCAGAAAGCCCAGAUCGUCCACCUGCUCAAGCACCACACAGCCAACCGAACCUGUUCCACCUAUGGCACAGGUUUUGUAACAACUAACCACUCUCAUCCUUUGAGACACAGAACUGCUACAAUGAUCUGUGUACAAUGAAUGCCAAAUUAUAAAGUAGAUUGUAGAAAAUGCCUACCAGUAAUAUACCUGUAUCUCACUAUUGACUACUUUGUUUUGAAAAUGAAGAAACUAGACCCAGUAUGAGAAGGUACACCCCUAUUAUGUCCACAAUUAAAGAGCAUAAGCAUCUCUGUUAACAUUGUUUUGUCCUGGGGCAUAAGCCUUAUCUCCAUAUUGCUCUUUUACAUGCUAUUAUUGAACCUGUGGCUGACAUGUGGCUCUCUUGUCUCUCACAUGUGAUGAAGGUAAUGAUGUCAAUAUGAUCCAGGCAGCAGACUGUGGUAUUGGUAUUGAAGGAAAGGUUAAUAAUCCAUAUUACGCCUCUUACCUUAUCCAUUUAUUAUUACAUGAAAUAGUAAAAACAUGAUUUUUUAAACAAAAAUGCAAAACCUGUUACGGGCCCCA
Molecule: long non-coding RNA, 1792 nt
Organism: Oncorhynchus tshawytscha (Chinook salmon)
Lineage: Eukaryota; Metazoa; Chordata; Actinopteri; Salmoniformes; Salmonidae
Source: Ensembl